GCUGGCGGCAUGCCUAACACAUGCAAGUCGAACGCUCUCGGGGCUUCGGUUCCGGGGGAGUGGCGCACGGGUGAGUAGCGCGUGGGAACCUGCCCUGUUGUGGGGGAUAACCGAGGGAAACUUCGGCUAAUACCGCAUGCGCCCGGGGGUGACUCCGGGGAAAGAUUUAUCGCAGCAGGAGGGGCCCGCGUCGGAUUAGCUUGUUGGUGGGGUAACGGCCCACCAAGGCGAUGAUCCGUAGCUGGUCUGAGAGGAUGAUCAGCCACACUGGGACUGAGACACGGCCCAGACUCCUACGGGAGGCAGCAGUGGGGAAUAUUGGACAAUGGGCGCAAGCCUGAUCCAGCAAUGCCGCGUGAGUGAUGAAGGCCUUAGGGUUGUAAAGCUCUUUCGCCCGCGACGAUGAUGACGGUAGC
Molecule: ribosomal RNA, 416 nt
Filed under: uncultured soil bacterium
Lineage: Bacteria
Description: bacterial SSU rRNA
Rfam family: Bacterial small subunit ribosomal RNA
Source: RNAcentral